GGUUUGAUGCCACGUCGCCGGUAGCAAUUUGCUUGCAGUGGCCGGCGGUGUUCAGAUUGAACCUAAAUUAAUUUCAUGUUUCGCAUAUUGAUAGGAAUCUGUGAUGAUUUAUAUACAUUCAUACACAGAGCCGUUUUUUGCGAUUACAUUU
Erythranthe guttata (spotted monkey flower) is the source of this 151-nucleotide non-coding RNA. The record is from Rfam. NCBI's taxonomy places the organism in Eukaryota, Viridiplantae, Streptophyta, Magnoliopsida, Lamiales, Phrymaceae.